AGAACGAACGCUGGCGGCAUGCCUAACACAUGCAAGUCGAACGCUCCUGGGGCUUCGGUCUCAGGGGAGUGGCGCACGGGUGAGUAGCGCGUGGGAACCUGCCCUGUUGUGGGGGAUAACCGAGGGAAACUUCGGCUAAUACCGCAUAAGCCGGUUGUCUUGAAAGGGAUGGCCGGGAAAGAUUUAUCGCUGAAGGAUCGGCCCGCGUCUGAUUAGCUUGUUGGUGAGGUAACGGCUCACCAAGGCGACGAUCAGUAGCUGGUCUGAGAGGAUGAUCAGCCUCACUGGGACUGAGACACGGCCCAGACUCCUACGGGAGGCAGCAGUGGGGAAUAUUGGACAAUGGGCGCAAGCCUGAUCCAGCAAUGCCGCGUGAGUGAGGAAGGCCUUAGGGUUGUAAAGCUCUUUCACCCACGACGAUGAUGACGGUAGUGGAGAAGAAGCCCGGCUAACUCGUGCCAGCAGCCGC
RNAcentral lists this ribosomal RNA (469 nucleotides) under uncultured bacterium. Its description in RNAcentral is "SSU rRNA". It matches the Rfam family "Bacterial small subunit ribosomal RNA", at positions 26 to 518 of the family's 1533-position model. The record is from RNAcentral.